CAGCAGCCGCGGUAAUACGUAGGGUGCAAGCGUUAAUCGGAAUUACUGGGCGUAAAGCGUGCGCAGGCGGUUUUGUAAGACAGAGGUGAAAUCCCCGGGCUCAACCUGGGAACUGCCUUUGUGACUGCAAGGCUAGAGUACGGCAGAGGGGGAUGGAAUUCCGCGUGUAGCAGUGAAAUGCGUAGAUAUGCGGAGGAACACCGAUGGCGAAGGCAAUCCCCUGGGCCUGUACUGACGCUCAUGCACGAAAGCGUGGGGAGCAAACAGGAUUAGAGACCCCUGUAGUCCCUGUCUCUUAUAC
Molecule: ribosomal RNA, 301 nt
Filed under: uncultured bacterium
Lineage: Bacteria
Description: partial 16S ribosomal RNA
Rfam family: Bacterial small subunit ribosomal RNA
Source: RNAcentral